CACCGUCCCAAGAUGGCUGCCAGGUGCGGUGGCUAAGCCUGGGCACAUCUGAAGCCGGUGCCGACCAUCAGGGCCGAGUUGCGACGAGAGAGUGUUAUUAAGCCGAGUUGGCCAGGUCCCUAAGUCUUGGAUGGCGAGCUGUAGAUAGGCCUUGAGCCUGAGCCCAAGGAUCUCCACCUCUCAACCCCUGAACUCCACCUGCUCUGGUCGGGCCGGUAGGCGGCUUAUAGCCGAACCCCUUGCCUUGCACCUCAUUACUCUGCAGCCCUUUGCACUACCUCAUACACACCCUGCCCAUAAACUGAACUGUCACUACAAACUGCCAUAUCCACAACCCCAACCCUGGGACCCCAUUUUGAAAAUUCCUAGCGCCAACACUG
Entelurus aequoreus (snake pipefish) is the source of this 380-nucleotide long non-coding RNA. RefSeq lists it as uncharacterized. The record is from RefSeq and is a predicted model, not a curated record. The transcript has 3 exons. Lineage: Eukaryota; Metazoa; Chordata; Actinopteri; Syngnathiformes; Syngnathidae.